AACGCGAAGAACCUUACCAGGUCUUGACAUCCCGAUGAAAGCUACAGAGAUGUAGCCCCUCUUCGGAGCAUUGGAGACAGGUGGUGCAUGGUUGUCGUCAGCUCGUGUCGUGAGAUGUUGGGUUAAGUCCCGCAACGAGCGCAACCCUUGACUUUAGUUGCCAGCAUUCAGUUGGGCACUCUAGAGUGACUGCCGGUGACAAACCGGAGGAAGGUGGGGAUGACGUCAAAUCAUCAUGCCCCUUAUGACCUGGGCUACACACGUACUACAAUGGCCGGUACAACGGGAAGCGAAACCGCGAGGUGGAGCGAAUCUUUAGAAGCCGGUCUCAGUUCGGAUUGCAGGCUGCAACUCGCCUGCAUGAAGUCGGAAUUGCUAGUAAUCGCGGAUCAGCAUGCCGCGGUGAAUACGUUCCCGGGCCUUGUACACACCGUAGUAC
RNAcentral lists this ribosomal RNA (439 nucleotides) under uncultured bacterium. RNAcentral describes it as "bacterial SSU rRNA". It matches the Rfam family "Bacterial small subunit ribosomal RNA", at positions 958 to 1398 of the family's 1533-position model. The record is from RNAcentral.